Molecule: long non-coding RNA, 835 nt
Organism: Pogoniulus pusillus (Red-fronted tinkerbird)
Lineage: Eukaryota; Metazoa; Chordata; Aves; Piciformes; Lybiidae
Exons: 2
Source: RefSeq, a predicted model, not a curated record
UGGAGCGGCACAGACGCUCUCAAAGUAAGCAGCGUCUGGCUGGAAACCUGGGUACGAUUUCAGGUGCCGUUAAUUGAGUCUGGCUGCUGGAAACCUUUUGUUAAGGCAGUUGGUGUUGAGAAGCGGUAGGGUGGUGAGCUGCGUGGGUGUCUUUUAAAGCGGUAUGAAGGCAGCGAUCGUUCAUUUGCGAGUUGGGGCUGGUGGUUAAUGUUGUCAAGGGAGAGUCAGUCCUCUGCGCCUCCGAUUCGACCUGGUCUUCUCAGUAGCGAGUAACUCCAGUGGGCUGCUUCCUCACGACAGAGUUUCUAAAAUAAGAAGAAAAGCAAAAAGACCAAUUCCCGGGGCAGUGCAUAAAGCCCUCUGCAAAAGGACUGAACGUUUCACACCUGCUUAGCACUGAAAGCUGUGAAAGUGAUGCACGCUGGUGAAAGCACCUAACUUCUUCUUGCUUUAAUAUGUAAAUCAAGGGACGUGCCAAAGCAGCCUGUCAAAAUAUUUCUCGAAGCUGAUUGUUGUUGCUGAAGGUCUUUUAUAAACAAGAAAGCAAAACCCCAUCAAAAACUGUCACAUGUAAUAAGGAUUUCCUGAAUGCUGAUUAAUAAAUUAUUAACUCUUGACCUAGUGUGAGGCACUAAGAUUGAGCACAGCAUUUAGUAGGUUUUACCUUUUGUUCUACUUGGAAAAAUAAAAGCAUCGUACACACUCCAGCCUGUGGAGGUCACAAGUGUUUGAGACUGGGUGAACCCCUGCCAGACUGUGGUGUCUGGGAUGGUGAUCACAGUGCUCAGGCUGAAUGGUCAAAAACGGACUUGGGUGCACGCAGAGUUCUCAGCUU